GACGAACGCUGGCGGCGUGCCUAAUACAUGCAAGUAGAACGCUGAAGGAAGAGCUUGCUUCUCUGGAUGAGUUGCGAACGGGUGAGUAACGCGUAGGUAACCUGCCUGGUAGCGGGGGAUAACUAUUGGAAACGAUAGCUAAUACCGCAUAAUAGCAGUUAUUGCAUGAUAACUGUUUGAAAGGUGCAAUUGCACCACUACCAGAUGGACCUGCGUUGUAUUAGCUAGUUGGUGGGGUAACGGCUCACCAAGGCGACGAUACAUAGCCGACCUGAGAGGGUGAUCGGCCACACUGGGACUGAGACACGGCCCAGACUCCUACGGGAGGCAGCAGUAGGGAAUCUUCGGCAAUGGACGGAAGUCUGACCGAGCAACGCCGCGGGAGUGAAGAAGGGUGUCGGAUCGUAAAGCUCGGUUGUAAGAGAAGAACGAGUGUGAGAGUGGAAAGUUCACACUGUGACGGUAUCUUACCAGAAAGGGACGGCUAACUACGUG
This 495-nucleotide ribosomal RNA is filed under the name uncultured bacterium. RNAcentral describes it as "partial 16S ribosomal RNA". It matches the Rfam family "Bacterial small subunit ribosomal RNA", at positions 28 to 507 of the family's 1533-position model. The record is from RNAcentral.